UCACGCCAUAAGAUUAGCCCAAGUGGGAUAGCUAGUUGGUGAGGUAAUGGCUCACCAAGGCGACGAUCCCUAGCUGGUUUGAGAGGAUGAUCAGCCACACUGGGACUGAGACACGGCCCAGACUCCUACGGGAGGCAGCAGUGGGGAAUAUUGCACAAUGGGCGCAAGCCUGAUGCAGCCAUGCCGCGUGUGUGAAGAAGGCCUUCGGGUUGUAAAGCACUUUCAGUAAGGAGGAAAGGUUAAGUGUUAAUAGCACUUAGCUGUGACGUUACUUACAGAAGAAGCACCGGCUAACUCCGUGCCAGCAGCCGCGGUAAUACGGAGGGUGCGAGCGUUAAUCGGAAUUACUGGGCGUAAAGCGUACGCAGCCGGUUUGUUAAGCGAGAUGUGAAAGCCCCGGGCUCAACCUGGGAACUGCAUUUCGAACUGGCAAACUAGAGUGUGAUAGAGGGUGGUAGAAUUUCA
Molecule: ribosomal RNA, 465 nt
Filed under: Pseudoalteromonas sp. R-245
Lineage: Bacteria; Pseudomonadati; Pseudomonadota; Gammaproteobacteria; Alteromonadales; Pseudoalteromonadaceae
Description: bacterial SSU rRNA
Rfam family: Bacterial small subunit ribosomal RNA
Source: RNAcentral